CUUACCAUGCUUUAUUAUGCCCCCAUUUCGAAGAAAAGGGGGUAUAUUGCUUUGCACUUGUCGGUCCGUCGGUCCGUAGACCAAAUGGUUUCCGAGUGAUAACUAAAGAACCCUUAGGCCUAGGAACUUCAAACUUGGUAUGGUGAUUGGUCAUGACCAGUAGAUGACCCCUAUUGAUUUUGGGGUCAAGGGGUCAAAGGUCAAGGUCACAUUGACCUUGUAAGGAAAAACGGUUUCCGAUCAAUAACUAAAGAACUUUAAGGCCUAGGAACUUCAAACUUGGUAUGGUGAUUGGUCAUGAUCAGUAGAUGACCCCUAUUGAUUUUGGGGUCAAGGGGUCAAAGGUCAAGGUCACAUUGACCUUGUAAGGAAAAACGGUUUCCGAUCAAUAACUAAAGAACUUUAAGGCCUAGGAACUUCAAACUUGGUAUGGUGAUUGGUCAUGAUCAGUAGAUGACCCCUAUUGAUUUUGGGGUCAAGGGGUCAAAGGUCAAGGUCACAUUGACCUUGUAAGGAAAAACGGUUUCCGAUCAAUAACUAAAGAACUUUAAGGCCUAGGAACUUCAAACUUGGUAUGGUGAUUGGUCAUGAUCAGUAGAUGACCCCUAUUGAUUUUGGGGUCAAGGGGUCAAAGGUCAAGGUCACAUUGACCUUGUAAGCAAAAACGGUUUCCGAUCAAUAACUAAAGAUCUUUAAGGCCUAGGAACUUCAAACUUGGUAUGGUGAUUGGUCAUGAUCAGUAGAUAACCCCUAUUGAUUUUGGGGUCAAGGGGUCAAAGGUCAAGGUCACAUUGACCUCUUGGGUAAAAACGGUUUCUGAUCAAUAACAAAAGAACCCUUAGGCCUAGGAACUUCAAACUUGGUAUGGUGAUUGGUUAUGACCAGCAGAUGACCCCUAUUGAUUUUGGGGUUAAGGGGUCAAAGGUCAAGGUCACAUUGACCUUGUAGGUAAAAACGGUUUCCGAUCAAUAACGAAAGAACCCUUAGGCCUAGGGACUUCAAACUUGAUAUGGUGAUUGGUCAUGAUCAGUAGAUGACCCCUAUUGAUUUUGGGGUCAAGGUGUCAAAGGUCAAGGUCACAUUGACCUCUUAGGUAAAAACGGUUUCCGAUCAAUUACUAAAGACCCCUUUAGGCCUAGGAACUUCAAACUUGGUAUGGUGAUUGGUCAUGACCAGCAGAUGACCCCUAUUGAUAUUGGGGUUAAGGGGUCAAAGGGCAAGGUCACAUUGACCUUGUAGGUAAAAAUGCUUUCCAAUCAAUAACUUAAGAACCCUUAGGCCUAGGAACUUCAAACUUGGUAUGGUGAUUGGUCAUGACCAGCAGAUGACCUAUUGAUUUUGGGGUCAAGUGGUCAAAGGUCAAGGUCACAUUGACCUUGUAGGUAAAAACGGUUUCUGAUCAAU
Ruditapes philippinarum (Manila clam) is the source of this 1404-nucleotide long non-coding RNA. RefSeq lists it as uncharacterized. The transcript is spliced from 2 exons. The record is from RefSeq and is a predicted model, not a curated record. NCBI's taxonomy places the organism in Eukaryota, Metazoa, Mollusca, Bivalvia, Venerida, Veneridae.